GCAACCGAGCCGCCACAGGCCCUCGGAACGCUACGUCACGUUGCGCAGCCGCAGUCCGGCGUGUGCGCGUGUUCUCCAGGAGUCCGGAAGGGAAGGCGUGCCUUACUGCGGUCUAGCGCCACCACGGCCCAUCCGCGUACUUGGCCUUGAGGGGGGAUACGGGAGGGAUCAGGUGGGAAACCUUGAAGCUCUCCCUAGCUCCAGAGGAUCAAGGGGAUUGCGGCAAAGGUUCACACGGGGCCGGGAACAAAAGAAAGCAUCUCAGAAGAAGCACAGAAGGGUGAAGUGGCUGCAGGUUGUCUCUAUUCCGGUCAAGUUCUGAGGCACAGGAAGAGUCUAGAUAAUCAACAAAACAAUGAGUCAAGUCCCAACAUACAGUAUUUGCUGAUUUCUACAGUGUAAAUAGCCCUAUCACAGCCAAGGGCAAGCUGCCAUGAUGUCACCGAACCGACUUGGAAAGAGAGUCACAGUAACACAUCAUUCUGUGGUAUUUCCAACCUACAGGCACGAUAAACGUAAGUCACUGCUACAACAAACAUAAGAAAAUGUAGUAAAAUAAUUGAGAAGUGAUGAAUUUUGAGUAUUUGUUACUUUGCUUUUUGACAGAAUUUAUUCUCAGCGUAAAAUCUAUUAUUCCUUAAAAUGUCAAGAAAGUAAAGCUUUGACCAGAAGGAGGAAAGUGGGCCUGUGUGCUCCCAUCUCAGGAACAGGAGGCCGAGUGUAUGCUGGGAACGUCAGAGUGACAGCUAUCAAGAGACCAGAAACAGGACCCGAUUCCUGUCCCAGGGCUUAUAACAAAGGCUCCAACCAGGCUUUUUUCCAAAAAUGUUUUUAAUUCCGACAUCCAUCUUAAUGGCUUACGGUAGCCUAAUUUAGCCAGUAGUUUGUUAUACUAAAAAUGGAAGCUAAUGAUUUCAGCUAAAAACAACUAAGUCAGUGCCAUCAAAGUAUAUUGUAAGAAACUGA
This is a long non-coding RNA of Neofelis nebulosa (Clouded leopard), 966 nucleotides long. RefSeq lists it as uncharacterized. The transcript has 2 exons. The record is from RefSeq and is a predicted model, not a curated record. NCBI's taxonomy places the organism in Eukaryota, Metazoa, Chordata, Mammalia, Carnivora, Felidae.